UGUCCCCAGACAGAAUCACUAAGUGCCAGA
This 30-nucleotide non-coding RNA is filed under the name Macaca fascicularis (crab-eating macaque). RNAcentral also lists the same sequence under 1 other name. Lineage: Eukaryota; Metazoa; Chordata; Mammalia; Primates; Cercopithecidae. The record is from RNAcentral.